CACACACAGCCUGGGCUGGAAUUACUAGCUUAGUGAUCUUGGGUACUUGGCUCAAUCUAUUGGAAUCUCAGUUUCCAUGUUUGAUUGACUCACAUUACAAUGUUCUUCUAUAUUUUCUUCUAAAAGUUUUAAACUCUUAAUCCAUCUUCAAAGAGUUUUGUGUGGUAGGGAUACAAUUUCCCUGUAUGGAGCCAACUGUCCAAGCACAAAUUUAUUGAAUAGUUCUGCUUUGCUGGAGUCAUCGUAUACCAGAUUUCUCAUUUUACCCAGCUGGGUAAUUUUCAACAUUGCUGUGUUCAUAUCUCCUGAGAUUAUUAGAUGUGAAUACUUUUUAUAAACAGAAUUCUCUGGGGUGGAACUUCUCAGCCUCUGUAGAUCAAGGAAUGGACGUAUCCCAAGAGAGCUGUGAAUAUUGAAACUGCACGAGCAGAGCCCACACUUGUUCAGCCUGGACGUGUUUGGAUAUUUACCACUGCAGAUUUCGAAGAUUGUCUACACUGAAGACAGAGCCAGAACAUUCUCCAGAUUCUCUAUUUCACGCUUCACUGAAGAAUUCAACAAUAGAUUGUGUGUUGCUUUUCAUUUAUAUAGCAAAGAUGGAAGCAAAAAACAAAUUACGAAAAGUAGAAUAUUUAAAAUGGCUCCACUGAAGAGAACUGGAAACCUUUCUAAAAACAGUUUUGUCAGGUAGAUAGUGAGGAAUUCUGGGUCUCCUAGGGACAAAAGUGGGUGACGCUGCAGUUCACCCACCAUGGGCUUUCGGAGAGGCUCAUGGGAGAUCCACAUGCACAGUAAGGCUCAGGUCACGUGACUCAACUGUCCAAUCAAAGGGGUUCUAUGGUGACAUCUGAGCCACAAGAGACGUCCUCACCAGGGCACUAUGAAACAAGACCCCCACCAUUACUGGGCCCUCCCUUUUGCUGUCCCUUUGCUGUGACAGUGGCCUCAAGUUGUCAUCUGUGGCGUAUGUACCACACUCUGUAAACCUAUACCUUGCUCUUGCCCUAUAAUCCUACCUUUCUCUUAAACCUCAUUUUCAUGUUUGCCUUACUUUGGUGUCUGUGGUCAUUCUUUGGCCAUAAGUGCACCAAGAACCGACAUUUCAGACCCAGAAACCCUGAGUUUUGCCUGAGGCCAUCCCUUACCUGAUUAUAGAAAUAUUUUUUAGUGUGUAUUUAUGGAUUUUAGUUCUCACAACCUUAGGAAACCUUUGAAAAUGCAUUCAGAAAAAAUGAGAAAUUUUAGAUUUGGCGAUUUCAAUUCAAUUUAACAAAUAUUUGCAGAGUCUGCAUAAUGUGCCUAGCAAUACAUCCAGGAGGAGCUUUUUAUCAGAAUAUAUUAAAUUUUCUAAAUAGAUUUCUUAGGAACUAA
Microcebus murinus (gray mouse lemur) is the source of this 1371-nucleotide non-coding RNA. Lineage: Eukaryota; Metazoa; Chordata; Mammalia; Primates; Cheirogaleidae. The record is from RefSeq and is a predicted model, not a curated record.